This 226-nucleotide ribosomal RNA is filed under the name uncultured bacterium. Its description in RNAcentral is "partial 16S ribosomal RNA". It matches the Rfam family "Bacterial small subunit ribosomal RNA", at positions 28 to 240 of the family's 1533-position model. The record is from RNAcentral.
GACGAACGCUGGCGGCGUGCUUAACACAUGCAAGUCGAGGGCACUAUUGGGGCAACCUGGUAGUGACCGGCGAACGGGUGCGUAACACGUGAGCGACCUUGCCUCGUGGUGGGGGAUAGCCGGCCCAACGGCCGGGUAAUACCGCAUAUGGUAGUUUCUUCGCAUGGGGAGACUAGCAAAGCCUUGGAGCAAUCCAAUGGCGCCACAGGGGGGGCGUCGCGGCCUA